This 253-nucleotide ribosomal RNA is filed under the name uncultured bacterium. RNAcentral's name for it is "partial 16S ribosomal RNA". It matches the Rfam family "Bacterial small subunit ribosomal RNA", at positions 524 to 776 of the family's 1533-position model. The record is from RNAcentral.
UACGAAGGGGGCUAGCGUUGCUCGGAAUCACUGGGCGUAAAGCGCACGUAGGCGGACUCUUAAGUCGGUGGUGAAAUCCUGGAGCUCAACUCCAGAACUGCCUUCGAUACUGAGAGUCUCGAGUCCGGGAGAGGUGAGUGGAACUGCGAGUGUAGAGGUGAAAUUCGUAGAUAUCGGGAGGAACACCAAUGGCGAAGGCAGCUCGCUGGGACGUUACUGACGCUGAGACGCGAAAGCGUGGGGAGCAAACAGG